CGUGAGAUGUUGGGUUAAGUCCCGCAACGAGCGCAACCCUUGCCAUUAGUUGCUACGAAAGGGCACUCUAAUGGGACUGCCGGUGACAAACCGGAGGAAGGUGGGGAUGACGUCAGGUCAUCAUGGCCCUUAUGGGUAGGGCUACACACGUCAUACAAUGGCCGGUACAGAGGGCUGCCAACCCGCGAGGGGGAGCAAUCCCAGAAAACCGGUCGUAGUCCGGAUCGUAGUCUGCAACUCGACUGCG
This 247-nucleotide ribosomal RNA is filed under the name uncultured bacterium. Its description in RNAcentral is "partial 16S ribosomal RNA". It matches the Rfam family "Bacterial small subunit ribosomal RNA", at positions 1066 to 1320 of the family's 1533-position model. The record is from RNAcentral.